UGAAUCCUUUGCAGAC
RNAcentral lists this small RNA (16 nucleotides) under Arabidopsis thaliana (thale cress). RNAcentral's name for it is "ATSL014280". The record is from RNAcentral. Lineage: Eukaryota; Viridiplantae; Streptophyta; Magnoliopsida; Brassicales; Brassicaceae.